CAGCAAUAGGUCAGGAACUAUGGACAU
RNAcentral lists this non-coding RNA (27 nucleotides) under Mus musculus (house mouse). The record is from RNAcentral. Lineage: Eukaryota; Metazoa; Chordata; Mammalia; Rodentia; Muridae.